GCCUUUCCUCCAGGACAGCUCCAGUGCUUGAUGUGGGCUUUCUCCUUUUCCAGUUCUCCAUGAUUCUUUUACCUGAACCUGGUUGAAGCUCUUCUGUGUGCUCCAGCUGGGAGUCUCCCUUCAGCCCUUAGUACCUUCCUCCUAAUUCCCUGUGUUCAUCAUCAAACCACCUGCCCUGUCAAUCCUCCACUCCAUACUCCAUCCUGCAAGGCUGCAAAGGCAAAUAUAUAAAGACUCACUUCCGACAAAAACAGCAUCUGCCAACCUCCGCCUCAGAAUCAUCCAGGUGCGGACCAAAAAGUUUGGAGAUGUCCACUAAAAAGAAGCCAAAUCAAGACAAAUAUUUAGCUGUUUGUCCUAAAUGACCAGAGUGUACAUCCAUCAGGGAGUGCUCCAGUGGAGCGCGGCGGGUCCGACAAUUGUCCUCAUAAAUUGCAUGUGUGUCGGGGUGCAGAGAGGCUAAGUGAGCAGUAAAUAACAAAGGGGCCCCGCCGCCAUCCGUUCACUGUUGCCGCGUUUCCGGCCACGCAAGAUUACCCAGGAUGCCCCAUGAGAGGGUGUCUUCUUCGUCGGCGUGAUGAAUGGACAGGCGGCAGGAAGAAGACGCCUUCAGUGCCCGGCGUCUGACAGA
Fundulus heteroclitus (mummichog) is the source of this 631-nucleotide long non-coding RNA. RefSeq lists it as uncharacterized. The transcript is spliced from 3 exons. NCBI's taxonomy places the organism in Eukaryota, Metazoa, Chordata, Actinopteri, Cyprinodontiformes, Fundulidae. The record is from RefSeq and is a predicted model, not a curated record.